AAAGGCGCAAGCCGAGUACAGUGGCGGACGGGUGAGUAACACGUGAGCAAGCUGCCCUAGAGACGGGGAUAACCAUGGGAAACUGUGGCUAAGACCCGAUGGCGCUGCUGGACCGCAUGGUUUGGCAGAUAAAUGUGGGGGACCCUUCGGGGCCUCAUGCUUUAGGAGGCGUUCACGGCCUAUCAGCUAGUUGGCGGGGUAACGGCCCACCAAGGCGAAGACGGGUAGCCGGCCUGAGAGGGUGGUCGGCCACAUUGGGACUGAGACACUGCCCAGACUCCUACGGGAGGCUGCAGUCGAGGAUCUUCCGCAAUGGACGAAAGUCUGACGGAGCGACGCCGCGUGGAGGACGAAGGCCUUCGGGUUGUAAACUCCUGUCAAGGGUUAUGAAAGUACAGUCGUUAACAAUGGCUGGGAUGACGUAAGCCCUGGAGGAAGCACCGGCUAACUCUGUGCCAGCAGCCGCGGUAAUACAGAGGGUGCAAACGUUGUUCGGAAUCACUGGGCAUAAAGCGUAUGUAGGCGGCUCCGUAAGUGUCGGGUGAAAUCCCACGGCCUACCCGUGGAACUGUUCGGCAUACUGCGGAGCUAGAGGAUGGUAGAGGAGAGCGGAACUCUUGGUGGAGCGGUGAAAUGCGUAGAUAUCAAGAGGAACACCGG
This 660-nucleotide ribosomal RNA is filed under the name uncultured bacterium. RNAcentral's name for it is "bacterial SSU rRNA". It matches the Rfam family "Bacterial small subunit ribosomal RNA", at positions 73 to 712 of the family's 1533-position model. The record is from RNAcentral.